ACAGAGGUCUCAAGCGUUGUUCGGAUUCAUUGGGCGUAAAGGGUGCGUAGGUGGCGGGGUAAGUCUGGUGUGAAAUCUCGGAGCUCAACUCCGAAACUGCACUGGAUACUGCCUUGCUCGAGUACUGGAGAGGAGAUUGGAAUUUACGGUGUAGCAGUGAAAUGCGUAGAUAUCGUAAGGAAGACCAGUGGCGAAGGCGAAUCUCUGGACAGUUACUGACACUGAGGCACGAAGGCCAGGGGAGCAAACGGGAUUAGAUACCCCGGUAGUCCUGGCAGUAAACGGUGCGCGUUUGGUGUGGGAGGAUUCGACCCCUUCUGUGCCGGAGCUAACGCGUUAAACGCGCCGCCUGGGGAGUACGGUCGCAAGAUUA
This 373-nucleotide ribosomal RNA is filed under the name uncultured bacterium. Its description in RNAcentral is "bacterial SSU rRNA". It matches the Rfam family "Bacterial small subunit ribosomal RNA", at positions 525 to 896 of the family's 1533-position model. The record is from RNAcentral.